This 178-nucleotide RNase P RNA is filed under the name Clostridiales bacterium. RNAcentral's name for it is "partial RNase P RNA component class A". It matches the Rfam family "Bacterial RNase P class A", at positions 1 to 179 of the family's 367-position model. Rfam says of the family: Ribonuclease P (RNase P) is a ubiquitous endoribonuclease, found in archaea, bacteria and eukarya as well as chloroplasts and mitochondria. Its best characterised activity is the generation of mature 5'-ends of tRNAs by cleaving the 5'-leader elements of precursor-tRNAs. The record is from RNAcentral. Lineage: Bacteria; Bacillati; Bacillota; Clostridia; Eubacteriales.
CCCGCAGACCGAGACAAUCGCGGGCGCCAUCGGGCGAAAGUCCGGCGCAUGAGGAAAGUCCGGGCUCCACAGGACAGGAUGCCGGGUAACUCCCGGUGAAGGCAACUUUAAGGAAAGUGCAACAGAAAAGAAAACCGCCCGCAAGGGUAAGGAUGAAAAGGCGAGGUAAGAGCUCACC